GACGAACGCUGGCGGCGCGCUUAACACAUGCAAGUCGAGCGGUAAGGCCCUUUCGGGGGUACACGAGCGGCGAACGGUGAGUAACACGUGGGUGACCUGCCCUCAGCUCUGGGAUAAGCCUGGGAAACCGGGUCUAAUACUGGAUAUGACUCCAUGACGCAUGUUGUGGGGUGGAAAGCCUUGUGCGGCUGAGGAUGGGCCCGCGGCCUAUCAGCUUGUUGGU
This 223-nucleotide ribosomal RNA is filed under the name uncultured bacterium. Its description in RNAcentral is "partial 16S ribosomal RNA". It matches the Rfam family "Bacterial small subunit ribosomal RNA", at positions 28 to 253 of the family's 1533-position model. The record is from RNAcentral.